RNA transcript from Ziziphus jujuba (common jujube), 6692 nucleotides. RefSeq lists it as uncharacterized. The record is from RefSeq and is a predicted model, not a curated record. The transcript is spliced from 22 exons. Lineage: Eukaryota; Viridiplantae; Streptophyta; Magnoliopsida; Rosales; Rhamnaceae.
UUCGGUCAUUUCUUUCAAACAGUUUUGAUGGAGGAGGUUUAGGAUUUUUUUUUUUUGAGAGUUUUUUUUGGGAGAUGGAAAACUCUUGGCAGGGCAAAUGUGGUUCCACAUUGCAGUCGUCAACACCGUCUUUGACUUCCUCGUCGUCACAGGAGCUUCGGAAUCAGGCGGCGACAAAUACAGGGUAUUAUUUUUACCCACAUGGUCAACAAGAUUUAAGAACAGCAGUACAUGGAAGGGUGCAGGAUCCUUCACUUCCUAAUAAUUCACUUAUAAGUUCACACAGAUUGGGCAAUGUGAUUCCUGGAAAUUCUUUUCUGUCUCUUCUGUCUGGACCACCGUCUUUGUUACAGUGUGAUUUUCAAGAAUUCUCAAAUCCAAAACCACUUUGUAGCUCUGUUAAACUGAUGAGUGAUAAUAGUAGUGUUCUAGCGAAUGCUACUGGAAGCAGGAUACCACUGACAUUCAAUGGGCUACAAUCAGAAAAUUUAAGUGGGCAAAACUUACAUGGAGCAGGAUUUUGUCCCACUAACCUACAUGGAGCAGGAUUUUGUCCCACUAUCUCAUCCAGGCCAAUGACCAGUUCCAACUGUUCUAGCAAAUCUGUUUUGCCUGAUGUUAAGAGUUCAGAACUGGAUAAGGCAGUUGUCCAUUGCAUGGUCCCUGGUAAUGAGAAAGUAAAAGGUUCCUUUUCAUUGAGUGGGGAAUGGCGUAGUACAUGCCAUGCAAAUGUUCAAAAAGCCUGUGGCACAAGAGUUCAAACUUUCCAAGUGAAGUCAAUGGAGGCUAACUCUAACCAGUCAGCCAGUUAUAUGAGUGGUUGCCCUCGUGUUUUCUGUUUGAGUACAGGUGGAUAUCUACUCCUCAGCAAUACAGGACUUCUUGGUAUUGUUUGCUCAUGCCAUUGUUUUCACAUGUCUGUCCUGAAAUUUUGUGAGCACUCGGGAUUAUUUGGUGUUAACCCUGGGGAUGCUGUUUGUGUGGAUGGUGGUGAAACUAUUGCUCAGUGGCGUAAAGUCUACUUCCAGAAGUUUGGGAUUAGGGUUCCAGAAGAUCAGAGUGAUUGGGACUGGCCUGAAGGAUUAUCAACAACUGCUGGUUUGCUAAGAUCUAGAGCGACUACGUCCAACAUUUCCUCUAACAUUUCUCAUCUGGUUCAUUCAUCCGAAGGUUUAGUAAGGUCUGGACAGACUUUAGACAAUUCUGGGUUAUCAAAGAACCUUCAUACGGACCAGAAUUUGGUUAUUGACGCUUUGCAAAAUAAACAAAAGAGGAAUGUCCAGGAUAAUAGCAAUAUUCUUCUCAAGGGUUUGAUUGGCACUUCGCUGAGCAAUGUGCGAGCUGUGGUGGAUAACCAGAUAAUGGAGUGCCCUGUGUCUCAGUGCUUAACAAUGUCAAAAUUUGUUGGUAUUGGAUCACAAGAUGGCAGUCAGUCCAUUUCUGGUUAUAUUGAUUCCAUUCUGAAGAAUGGAAAUUCAUCCAUUUCCUACCCUGCUUCACAGGAGUUAAAAACAAUUUGUAAAGAAUCUGAUUUGAGCAUGAUUAAUGCACAGAGGAGUCUCUUUGUGGGCAGGGAUGCUGCUCUUUCAAAUAUUGAGUUGAAGCUUGGGCAACCAUAUCAAUCAAGUCAACAAUUUGAAAACUCAAAUCUAACAGCCUUGGGACCACAACUAUUGGAUACUCUUGUCAAUCCACCACCAAAGUCAGUCUUCCCCGAGCAGAUAAUGCAUAAUAACGAUUUGAGGGAAAAGGUGGAACUUGGGCAAAAUCUUUACUUUGCAACUGGCCCAUCUGGGCCGAGCACAAAAAGAGAACAAAACCAGUUGAACCUUGGGAACUGUGCAUUUGAAGUUGGUAAUUCCACUGAUGCUGGUAGACUAGAGAAAUUAAGAGGCAACCUGGUCCAUAAUUCUGUGGUUUCACUACCUACACCUACCCAUUCCAAAAUUCCAUCUGAAAGUAGUAUGCGAACAAAAGCUAAUGAUAAUAUGUUAAUUGGCAUGGAGCAUGUCAUGCCCAAUACACAGUAUUCUGGUAGCUUCUCCUGGCACAAUGAAAAUGGUUUAGAAAGGCAAUUACCCAUUCCUGAGUUGUGUUUGCGUGGACUAACUGACAAGGGUAAAGGAGUGGGCUCCAUUGGUGAUAAAUACUACUUUAUGAAGGACACAGCAUCUAGAACCCACAAGGAAAUGGAUAUCACAGGCAAUGAUCCUCAUAUUCCAGUACAAUGUGGAAACAGCUGCUAUUCACAUCAGCUUUCUAGUUUAGCAGUGGAGGUACCUGACACCAGAAAAAUAUGUAAUUACCCUGAAAAUGUUCCUUUUCAUGGAAGCGGUGGACAAGUUGAUCAUGUUAAUCACAGAUCUUUGGCUGUGAGCAUGGGGUCUGGGCUAAUUUCACCAUCUCAAGUAGUCUCAACGGGCAUUCCCUUAGCUACUUCUACCUGUUUAUUAGAUCAGACUUCAGCCUUGUCUAGAGAAGAGGGCAUUGGUGUCAGUGGUCAUUUACUUGAUGAUAAUUUGAGAUUGCUUGCACUUAGGCAAAUGUUGGAUUUAUCUAAGCAACAAAAUGCUUAUAAUUAUCUUGGAAUGAAGAAAGGGGAAGGAAAAUAUGAUGGCCUUUCUUAUGCACAGAAUUCUUGUUCUGAACCUUCAGUGCCAGGAGAACAAUGGCAAGGAUCUGGUCUUACCAGUAAAAUGGAUGUUUCUGAAGCUGCUGUUAAAGCACGUCUCUCUGGUACUUCUCGGUUUGGUGGUGAUAAAGGGAUGAACAAUUGCUGUGAUCUUUCAACUAUGACCCAAGGAAUUUCGCUACAUCCAAAAGAAAUGGCUGUGCAAUGUCAGCUUUCUAAUGAUCAUCUUCGAAAGGAGCAGCCUUCCAUGAGAAGUGAUAAGGACAUUGCUGGAUCAAGUGAGCAUGAAAAAAGUUGUUGCAGAAUACCAAGUGAUUGUUUUCAGCGAAACUGCAAUUGUUCAGUCCAUACAAAUCAUUUUGAAAGGAAUUUUGAGUCAAGAAUUGGAAACUUUCCUAAUGUCUUAAAGGAGCAAAUAGGAAUGGUCAAUAGUGAAGCCUCUGUAAUACUUGGUUCGAAAUUCGCCAAAAAUCAUAAUUUUGCAAAUGAUAAAAUGAUUUCUCUAGAGCAAAGUGGAUUGAAUGGUAAACUCCACAAAAACAUUUUCAGUCAUUCUUCUCAGUGGCGAGAUGUACCAAGUAAGGCGAAAGGGGUUUUUGAUGUGAUGCAUGUGGACUGUUCGUCGGAUGUAAUUGAUGGGAAAGGAUGUAAUGGAAGUCAACAUAGAGACACCUCUUCUAAAUGCUUAAAUGAUACGAUGCAGGCAAUGGACUCCUUGAAAGAGAAUGAAAUUUCGAAUAUUUCUUCUGGGUGUUCUGCCCCUGCAGUUACUCAGGUCUCAGUUGAGGUUAACAAUACGGAUUCUUAUAGUGCUGAUGUCGCUAAUAGUGGAUGUGUAAGUGAUCUUGUAAUUGAUGAAGGAUCAGGCAUUGAUGAAUGCUGGUCAUCAGAUGAUGCAUGUGGAAGUGAAAGAAGUGCUGAGUUCCUUGGUGCCACUUGUAAGACUAGCUUGAAAGAACCUGGGUCUUCCAAGAACAUAUAUCAUCAAUCAUCAAGAAGCCUUCUUGAUGAGCUUAAGCUUAUAAAUUCAUUAACAUGGAAGAAAGGUCGAAAUCAAAUCCAAACUGGGAUUGCUUCUCAGAAUAAGGACAAUCUUUCCAAGAGAUUUGAGAGACGCUUGAAAGCAGGGAAGAGAAAACGAGAUUGCCCUUAUGAAAAUUCCAAAUAUACUUGUAAUGCUGAGUCACCAUCUUGUUCAUCCAAAUAUAACCAGAUUAUAUCCUCAUCCAGUCAAGGGAAAACCCAUCGAGCCUCUUUUAGUCAACAAAGUUCCAGACGUAAAUUGUCUUCAGCAAGGAAACUUCCACGUAAAAGAGAUAUAUAUAAACUUUAUAAUGAGAGAGAAGAAAACGAUGUUAGUUGUGGAGAACUGUAUGUUGCUGCUGACACUAAUGAUAUUUAUGAGCUAUCUGGUGGAAAGAAAUUCAAAAUGGAUUACACGUGUGCUGUUACGAAGGCCAGGAUGCGAGAUGUAACUGAUGAAGGUAUUGGAGUAAUGAAGUACAACUCAGUAGGUUGGAUGAAGGCAUCUAGUUUGCAGGUGAAUAUUUGUCAAAUGAAGCCAAGGCCAAUGGUUUGUGGAAAAUAUGGUGAGCUAUCUGAUGGAAAACAGGAUGGAGUUGUGUCGAAAUCAGCUAAAAUUGUACCGCUUAGCAAGGUUCUUAAAUCUGCCAAAAGGUGCACACUGCCCCAAAAUCAAAAACCUAGACCAACUUUUGUGAAGGAGUUGAAGAAGACAGGCCACGAUGGAACUGAUGUAUACUGUGAUGAAUUCCAUUAUUUGAAUAAUGAGAUAGAGAGUUGUAGCUAUAAAAUUAAAAAUUAUGAUGGCGUAAAUAAUGAUGCAUCAGAAAGAAUGAACGAAGGAUGCUCUGCUGGAGAUUAUAAAUUUGCUGAAGAGUUGCCCAUGUUGGAGAAAGAGAAACAUGAUAAAAGCAAGAAAGAUUGUCAUAAAGUAGACACUAUUGCCUGUCAAUCCAAGAUUAAGAGUAAGGAAGUUCGCAAGCGUAGCAUUUAUGAGCUGACAGUUAAUGAUAAGAAUCCUAGCUCCAAAAGGUUUUCUCUUUUGAGGACUUCAAAAUGCUUUCCGAAAAUGAAAGCAGGAAAAGUUUUAAGGAAGGAUGAAGAUAAGAUGCUUGGAUUUCAUGGAGUAGUUGAUCAAAAAUCUCCUCAAGUGCGAAGGUGCUCAUCUCUUCUGAAUUCCGAUGCAUUCUGCUGUGUGUGUGGCAGCUCAAAAAAAGAUGAAUUCAAUUACUUACUGGAGUGUAGUCAGUGUUCAAUCAAAGUACAUCAAGCUUGUUAUGGUGUAUCCAGAGUACCUAAAGGCCAUUGGUAUUGCAGACCUUGUCGAACAAAUUCAAAAGAUAUUGCUUGUGUUCUUUGUGGUUAUGGAGGUGGUGCGAUGACUAGAGCACUGCAGAGUCGUGCAAUUGCAAAAACCUUUCUGAGAGCUUGGAAUAUUGAAACGGAAUGCAGGCCUAAGACUAUCCUUUCUUCUGUCAAAACUUUGCAAAACGAACUAAGCGGAUUGCAUUCAUCUGUAUCUGGAAAUGAAGAAGGUUCCUCAUUCUGUAUUCAACCUGAAAAUAUUGAACCACUGGCUUCAGCUGCCUGCAAAAUGGAAAUGCUAUACCACCUGGAUGUUGAACAGAAUUCCCCUCUUGUUUCUAAGUUAAAGGUACAUAACAGCAUUACAGUUGGAUUACUUGAUUCAACAACUAAGCAGUGGGUUCAUAUGGUUUGUGCACUUUGGACUCCCGGAACACGAUGCCCGAAUGUUGAUACUAUGAGUGCUUUUGAUGUAUCAGGAGCUUCACGUCCCAAAACAGAUGUGGUUUGCUCUAUAUGUUGCCGUCCUGGUGGUUCAUGUAUACAGUGCAGAGUUAUAAAUUGCUCUAUACAAUUUCAUCCCUGGUGUGCUCAUCAGAAGGGUCUGUUGCAAAGUGAGGUUGAAGGUGUCGACAGUGAAAGCGUUGGUUUCUAUGGAAGGUGCAUGCUUCAUGCUAUACAUCCAAUGUGUGAAACUAACUGUGACCCAGCUGGUAUUGAAACUGGUUGUUCAGGGAUAGAAGAGUUUACCUGUGCUAGGACUGAGGGUUACAAGGGCCGUAAACAUGAUGGCUUCUGCCACAAGUAUGGUCAAUCAAAAGGCAAGAGUGGAUGCCUUGUUCCUCAGGAGCAGUUGAAUGCAUGGAUUCAUAUAAAUGGACAGAAGACAUGCGCACAGGGACUUCCAAAAUUGCCAGCAUCAGAUGUUGAGCAUGAUUGUCGGAAAGAAUAUGCUCGGUAUAAGCAAGUCAAGGGUUGGAAACAUCUGGUAGUGUACAAGUCUGGCAUACAUGCUCUUGGUCUUUACACAUCUCGGUUCAUCUCACGCGGUGAAAUGGUUGUUGAGUAUGUUGGUGAGAUUGUGGGGCAACGUGUAGCCGAUAAAAGGGAAAAUGAAUAUCAGUCUGGAAGAAAACUUCAGUACAAGAGUGCCUGUUACUUCUUCAGAAUAGAUAAAGAACAUAUUAUUGAUGCUACUCAUAAAGGAGGGAUUGCUCGUUUUGUCAAUCAUUCAUGCCUGCCAAAUUGUGUGGCCAAGGUGAUAUCUGUGAGGAACGAAAAGAAGUUACUACUGGAGCCAAUGCCUUGUGGCAAUGUUGUAGUUAACUAAUUUGACUGGUAAAAUGGAUAGCUUGAGAGAAAUGCUGCAAUUGGCUCUAAGGUUAUGCUGUUUCACCUUAGGCGGGUAUGCUACAUAAUUUACCAAGACAGUAUUUGACCUGUCCCAUUGUACAUAGUACAUACCCUCACCAACACAAGACACGGAAAAGGUUGUCUUUUUCGCGGAGCGAGAUAUCUUUCCUGGGGAAGAGGUAACAUACGACUACCAUUUUAACCACGAGGAUGAAGGAAAUUCCUGGAGCUUCUUGUUGCUGAGAAAAAUACUAAAGGGUGUAGAACUAGUAUUAUCCUUCAGCUUAUCCAUCAGUAAUCAUGGAAGCAAUGUACACUUGUAGCUGUUUGAAAAGCAGCUAUUAUUUUCUUAUAAUGUGGUUGCCUUUACUUUUCUAAA